CCGUAACUAUAACGGUCCUAAGGUAGCGAAAUUCCUUGUCGGGUAAGUUCCGACCCGCACGAAAGGCGUAAUGAUUUGGGCACUGUCUCGACAAUGCACCCGGUGAAAUUGAAAUACCAGUGAAGAUGCUGGUUACCUGCGCCAGGACGGAAAGACCCCAUGGAGCUUUACUCCAGCUUGAUACUGGGAUUCGAUAUUGCAUGUACAGGAUAGGUGGGAGACUGAGAACUGAUGACGCCAGUUGUCAGGGAGUCACUGUUGGGAUACCACCCUUGUAGUAUUGGAUUUCUAACCAGCAGCCGUGAACCGGCUGGGGGACAAUGUCAGGUGGGGAGUUUGACUGGGGCGGUCGCCUCCGAAAGGGUAUCGGAGGCGCUCAAAGGUUCCCUCAGAAUGGUUGGAAACCAUUCGAAGAGUGCAAAGGCAGAAGGGAGCUUGACUGCGACACCGACGGGUGGAGCAGGUACGAAAGUAGGACUUAGUGAUCCGGUGGUAUAAAGUGGGAUUGCCAUCGCUCAACGGAUAAAAGCUACCCUGGGGAUAACAGGCUUAUCACUCCCAAGAGUUCACAUCGACGGAGUGGUUUGGCACCUCGAUGUCGGCUCAUCGCAUCCUGGGGCUGUAGUAGGUCCCAAGGGUUGGGCUGUUCGCCCAUUAAAGCGGUACGCGAGCUGGGUUCAGAACGUCGUGAGACAGUUCGGUCCCUAUCCGGCGUGGGCGUAGGAUAUCUGAGAGGAGCUGUCCUUAGUACGAGAGGACCGGGAUGGACUGACCUCUGGUGUACCGGUUGCACUGCCAAGUGCAUGGCCGGGUAGCCAAGUCGGGACGGGAUAAACGCUGAAGGCAUCUAAGCGUGAAGCCCCCCUCAAGAUGAGAUAUCCCAUAACGUCAAGUUAGUAAGACCCCUUGAAGACGACGAGGUAGAUAGGGCAGAGGUGGAAGUGCGGUAACGCAUGGAGCUGACUGUUACUAAUAGGUCGAGGGCAUAACCAA
RNAcentral lists this ribosomal RNA (993 nucleotides) under metagenome. RNAcentral describes it as "bacterial LSU rRNA". It matches the Rfam family "Bacterial large subunit ribosomal RNA", at positions 1934 to 2925 of the family's 2925-position model. The record is from RNAcentral.